Molecule: long non-coding RNA, 1864 nt
Filed under: Marmota monax (woodchuck)
Lineage: Eukaryota; Metazoa; Chordata; Mammalia; Rodentia; Sciuridae
Source: RNAcentral
GCCUCACAUGUGCUAGGCAAGCACUCUUCCACUGAGCUACAUACAGCUCCAGCCCCUUUAAUGAUAUAUUAUUGAGUGGAUAAAAAAGUAGUGGAUUAUUAUCACAGUUUUUACUUUUAAAAAGGUAUGUGUGACUAGGCAUGGUGGUGCAUGCCUGUAAUCCCAGUGGCUCUGGAGGCUGAGGCAGGAGGAUUUUUAUUUCAAAGUCAGCCUCAGCAAUUUAACAAGGCCCUAAGCAACUCAGUGAGAGCCUGUCUCUAAAUAAAGUACCAAAAAGGACUGGGGAUGUGGCUCAAUGGUUAAGUGCGCCUGGGUUCAACCCCCAUACCAAAAAAAAGGAAAAAGGUAUGUGUGUACAUCUGUUGUAUAUAGAUUUAUAUCUACAUGGAAAAGGAAAUGGACAAAUACAAUCCAAAUUGCCAGAUAUGAUGAGUGGGAAUGGGAAAUGAGGUAGCAUGCUUUUCUAUUUUAUAUGAUUUUCUGUCUUUGAAACUAACAACUAAGGAAAAUAUUAAAACUGUGUUUUCAAAUCCAUUUUUCCCAAAAUUACUGAUUUCUGUUUAUUUUGAGAAAUAUAUUUACAGAAGACUCCAAGAAAUGUGAACCUAAUUUUUUUAUUUUUAUUUAUUUAUUUAUUUAUUGUAGUUGUUGAUAGACCUUUAUUUUAUUUAUUCAUAUGUGGUGCUGGGAAUCGAACCCAGUGCCUCACACAUGCCAGGCAAGUACACUACUGCUGAGCCACAGCCCCCUAAGUUUUUUAUUUGUUAUUUAUUUAUUUUUAGUUGUAGAUGGACACAAUAACUUUAUUUAUUUAUAUUUUUAUGUGGUGCUGAGGAUUGAACCUAGUGCCUCACACGUGCUAGGCAGGUGCUCCUCCAAUGAGCCACAACCCCAGCCCUGACCCUAAGUUUUAUUAUUAAAAAGGUGGUAGAAUAGAAAGCUGCUGGGCUGGGAUUGUGGCUCAGUGGUAGAGCGCCCGCCUAGCAUGGGUGGGACCCAGGUUCGAUCCUCAGCACCACAUAAAAAUAAAGGCAUUGUGUUGUGUCCAUCUAUACCUAAAAAAUAAAUAAAUAAAAUGUUUAAAAAAAAUAAUAAAGGCAUUCCAUCUACACCUAAAAAUAAAUAUUAUAUUAUAAAAAAAAAAAGAAAGAAAGAAACAUGCUGGCAUUUUUGUGUGAGGUGGCUCAGUGUUAGAACCAGGCCUAUUGCACUGCAGAUGUACUUACAAAGUUCAACUUAACAGCUGGUUUCCUACUUGGAAAAAUAGAGUUGUUCUUGUGACACUUGAAUAAUGUAUGUGUGAUCACUUUGAAAAUGCUAAUGUGACAUUGAAACCAUAAUAUAUCCUAAUGUUGCUUUCUUAUGGUAAUAUUCGUUAAAGCAGCCAAAUAUUAAUGUUUUUGAAAACUCCUAAUUUCGAAUGCUAAAGUUUCUGUUUCUUUUAAAUUGGUUCGUUCAUCACAAACUUUUUAAUUUUGUUUUUCUUUUUUUUUAAAUUUUUUUUUGUAGUUGUAGAUGGACACAAUCAAUGCUUUUAUUUAAUUUGUUUAUUUUUAUGUGGUGCUGAGGAUUGAACCCAUACCCUCAUGCCCCAGGCAAGUGCUCUGCCACUGAGCUAUAGCCCCAGCCCUUUAAUUUUGUUUUUCAACCCAGGAUUGGACCACUGAAUUUAGCUUCUAGGAAAUUCCCUAAUUACAGAAUUUUCUUUCAUUAUAUCGAAUUACUCCCGAUUUCAUCAUGAAAAUCUGGUUUGAAACUCAACUUACAAAAAUACUGAAAAUGAAUUUCAAAUUAAAUGGGAAUAUUUGUAUACUAAUGUGAUACAAUAGUGUUGUUUCACAUUUUUCCAUGUUAAAGACUAUUC